Molecule: ribosomal RNA, 253 nt
Filed under: uncultured bacterium
Lineage: Bacteria
Description: partial 16S ribosomal RNA
Rfam family: Bacterial small subunit ribosomal RNA
Source: RNAcentral
UACGGAGGGUGCAAGCGUUGUUCGGAAUCAUUGGGCGUAAAGCGCGUGUAGGCGGCUUGGCAAGUCGGUUGUGAAAGCCCGGGGCCCAACCCCGGAACUGCAUCCGAAACUGCCUGGCUAGAGUCCCGGAGAGGAAGGCAGAAUUCCCGGUGUAGGGGUGAAAUCCGUAGAUAUCGGGAGGAAUACCAGCGGCGAAGGCGGCCUUCUGGACGGUGACUGACGCUGAGACGCGAAAGCUAGGGGAGCAAACAGG